RNAcentral lists this unclassified non-coding RNA (4586 nucleotides) under Hevea brasiliensis (rubber tree). The record is from RNAcentral. Lineage: Eukaryota; Viridiplantae; Streptophyta; Magnoliopsida; Malpighiales; Euphorbiaceae.
UAAAUAAUUAAUUUUAUUAAAAUAAAGUACUAAAUAAUAACAUUCUCUUCGAUUCACGGGUAAACUACAUAGCCAGGACAUGUGUUAAGUACCAUUUAUGUGCAACUUUUGCCCAGUUUCUCCAGCCAGGAACUGAUGAAACUUUCCACUCACUUCAAUUGCACUUUGUCCAGCAGUUUUAACAAUGCCUGUGUCAUUCAUCAUCUCCCUCCAUCUGUUUGCUUCUUCCCAAUUACCACACGAUGCAUAUAAGUUUGCAAACAUCAUUAGCUCCCCGUCGCUAAGGUAGCGGGCUUUAGAAGAAAUUAGCUUCAUCACUCUCUCACCAGUCUCAAGAUCCUGAUGAAUCACACAGGCACUAAGCAAUGCACCCAGGAUGGAUUCUCCUGGUUCAAAUGGCAUUGCUUCAAUUACCUGAUAUGCUUGAUCAAGAUGCCCAGCCCUUCCCAGAAGAUCAACCAUGCAUCCAUAGUGCUCCAACUUGGGAGAUAUUCCAAAGUCCUCUUGCAUGGAAUCAAAUAGGUGGCAACCCUCUUGUACCAGACCUGAAUGGCUACAGGCAUUGAGUAGGCCAAUGAAGGUAAUAUCAUCAGGCCUUACAAGCUUACUUCUCAUCUUGUCAAAGAGUUCUAAAGCAGCAUAUCCUUGACCAUGAAGUGCAAGCCCAGAGAUCAUAGCAUUCCAACAAAAAAUAUCCUUAACUUGGGAUUUAUGGAACACUUGUAGAGCUUGCUCUAUGCUUCCACAUUUGGCAUACAUCUCUAUCAAAGCUGUUGUCACAUGGGGACUUGAUGCAAGCCCACUAUCAAUGGCAUAUAUGUGGAUUUUAGUUCCUGUUUCUAGAGAUCCCAAAUGCGCACAUGCGGAUAAAACACUAGUCACUGUUAGAUAAUCUGGAAUGCAAUUUGUUGUCUUCAUUUCAUCAAACAAAUCAAGAGCCUCAUUGAAAUGUUCACUUUGUAAACACCCUGUGAUCAUUGUGUUCCAUGUGAUGGGAUUUUUCACUGGCAUUUCCCUGAACAAUGCAUGAGCCUUCUCCAUAUAUCCAGCUCGAGUAUAUGCUGAUAUCAUUGAAUUCCAAGAGACAGUAUCCUUCACCGUCAUUUUAUCAAAGAUGCUUCUAGCAGAUAAUGCUUCCCCACAGCUUGAGUACCCAGAAAUCAUGAUAUUAAAAGAUGAUUGGUCCUUUAAAGGCAUCAAAUUGAACAGAUGAAUAGCAUCUUCCAUCUGGCCAUUAGAAGCAUGUGCAUCAAACAUGGAGUUCCACGCAACCAAAUCUUUGACAGGCAUCUUUGCAAACACUUUACAAGCAUCAGCAAUGUGAUGAAGAGUCCCAUACAUGUUUAUCAAAGCAGUUUGGACAAAAGCAUGAGCAGCUAAACCAGUUUUUAUCGUCUGACCGUGAAGGGCAAAGCCAAUAUGAGAGACACAACUCUUCCCAGCUGCUUUGAGUACAACAGGAAAUGUAUAAUUAUCAACAUCAAAGCCAAGUACUUGCAUAUUCACGUAAGUUAGAAUAGCUUGUUCUGCGUCCCCCAUGAGCAUGUACUUCUUGAUAAUCUCAUUCCAUUUUCGUACUUCUAGGGAAGGCGCGAAGCAGUUGCAGGCUAAAACCGGCAUUUCAGUGCUUCAAAAGUUCAGCUUCCUCUCUCCCUCUUUUACCUGCCACCUUUUGUCUUCUCCUCUUUCACAUCUCUGUUUGAAACCAGCAGCAAAAGAUCAAGUCCAAUGGGAAAAAAAGAUAUCUUACAACUUACUAGCAAAAGAUAAACAUCAAAGUCAAAGUCUUUCAAAGAUUCUUUAAGGAUGAACUAUAAAGGUGAAUAUAAAUUAAAGAUAAAGGACAAAAAGAAGAUAUCAUCCACAUAGAAAAUUGGGCCCCCGUAGCAAACAAAUCAACUUUCAUACACGACAAUUCAAUCUUUGUAACUUUUAAAAAUUUGUUUAGAUAUUUGCAUGCUUGGACCUUUUUUCUGUAUAUAUAAGAAAACCACCUCCACCAGCCCACAGAGAAUGAAAAACAAAAACUUAAUGAGAAUUAAGCUAAAAAUAUAUUCUUACGCAGUGAUAAUCAGUAAAAUUUAAAAAUCCAUUAAACUAAUCUCAAAAUCCUAAUUACUUGUCCAGGGCAAGUCCAUUGCUUCUAUUGAAACAAGAAAUUCACCAGCUUAGCAAUUGUGAAAGAACAAACAACGGAGUACAGGUCAAAAAGAGCUUUACAACAUGAUGUUGUUCUUUGAUUUUUCCUGCAAUUAAAAGAACAAACAAGACCAUGUCUAACAGAGUGUAUCAUUAGCAGUAACCAUAUAAUCCAGAGAAGGCUUACUCAGAUCUGAGAUUUUGGGGUCAGUUCCUUCAAUUUGCAGAAAGAGAGACCGUGUGGACACUAAGAGUUUGGGCUCUCAUCUUGUUAAUUAUGAUGGUGUUGAAGAACUGACAUAUUGCAUCAGCAUUCCCUCAAUUGGCCAUUUUUUUCAAUUCCAAAUUAGACAUGUAAAAUUAAUCAGAAUUUUCUCUUUUAAAAACAUGGAAAAAAAAUAAUCAUAUCAUAAAUUUGAAGGCAUGAAAAGCCUAAUAAUUAACACAAGAAUAAUCAACACCUUUUUCCCCUUUAAACUGCCAAACUUAAAACUGUCAUACUGACAAUCUUCUAUGGCGAAUUGAGAACUAGCAAACCAUAAUCCCAACUGCCCUGCUCCUUAUACCAGCCCACAAUAACACCUUAUCUCUUCAUUGAAUCCUUUACCACCACACAUACAAUCCACACCACCACCAGUUACCUCAUACAAACCUUCUCCUCUGCCUCCCUCUAAGCAGCAACCACCUUUCAAUUCAAUAACAAGAACAUUACUAAGUUUUUCACUUAAAACUGUUAUACUAUACAUCUUCUAUGGUUAAUUGAGAAAGAGCAAACCACAAAACCUCAACAAUGACAAGAAGAAGCAAACACAUUUGCCCCGCCUGCCCCCUCCUUAUACCAGCUCACAUUACCUCCUUAUCUCUUCCUUGAAUCCUUUACCACUGCACAUAAAAUCCACACCACCACCAGUUACAUCAGACAAACCUUCUCUUCUUCUUCCCUCUGAGCAGCAACCACCUUUCAAAAUUCAAUAACAAGGACAUUACUAACUCUUUCAUUUCUUUCUUUUUUUUCGCCUUCAUUGUAUAUAGCUCCAAAUAACAUAAUAAUUUUUAAAUCCUAAGGCCAAGGUUUAUCAUUAUUGUUAUUAUUUUAUCUUGAAGGAAGCUAUAUUGUGUGGCUUAGAAUUUGUGAUAACAUAUAUGGGGCAAAUUUUGGGCUCCAGCAGUGCCUUCUCAAGUAUUAUUUAAAAUAACAUUUUUCAAGGCAAACAGCCCAUAAAGUUUCUUUACCAACUAAAUAGUUGAAUUACUAGGAACAUGAAGGAACUCAAGAUAUGCAAUAAUGUUAACUAUUAGUGUCUAUAGUUGAAAUUCUAUAGUUAGUCCGUUACUCAGUUGGCCCUUGAAAACAUCAAACUUCUCUGUUGUCAAUUUCUUUAGUAUACUGAAUAUGCAAAAGAAUUUCAGCACGUUAUGAUAUCACAACAAGCGCCUUCCUUAUUGACACUUGCCAUAACACGAACAUAACUUCAGGUACACUCAACAACGCAAAAAUAUUCACUAAUUAGAAGAAAGAAGCAUGACAACCUUGAAUUCCAAAUAAAAUUUCAAUUUUCUUGCUUCAAUAAAUUUAAAUCCCGUUUCAACUUUUCCACUCAUCUUUAAUGGGAACAACAAUGUCAACUAAACCUCGUACUUAAUCAUAUGAGCAGUAUGGUUAAAGCAUCAUCAAUAAACAAAUAAACUGUGACUAUUCUUUUGAGCAAUGGAUUUUACCUUUUGGUUGGUAGUGAUUUGAGUCCUUGCAAACUGGAAGUGUAGUUGGUCCUGGUCAUUAUUUAACUCCUCUCCAAUGUCCAAAUGGCAAUUCCCCAAUCUAUUGCAGAAUAGCAGCCAGCUAGAACAAACAAAUCAUGACAUACAUAGUUUUCAAUGAAAUCAUAAAAUGCACCCUGAUUGAAGAAAAUUAUGAAAACUGGUUGACGACCGGAUUUCAUGUAAUGUGGGUUCUUUAUGGGCAUUGCUGAACUCAUCGCAAGCCCACCUAAAUCCCACAAAUGGCUGUUUGUCCAUAUUUACAGCAGGUACACAAACUUGAGUGCCCCGCCAAGAAUUAGGACAGCUACUGGAACAUCAAGACCAACAUUUCGUCCAAAAAAUCUCAUCUUCAUUAAAAAAAUUAAAUAUGCUUUUCUUUAGACAGCUCCCAUCUCGUCUAUGUAUGAAUACGAGGUUAGGUUUUUAAUGCAGAAACCAUAAAACAGAGUAAGGGCAGAGAGACUGAACAUCAGAGAUAAGAGUUGAAGUGGGAGAUAGAGAACCUGGCGCGAGAGCACCCCGUCCACCAGAGGUCUCAACUCUCAAGCUUAUCACUGUUCGAGCUGCUUCCAUCUCUCAAAACUACUAACAUGUUGAAAGAAAGGAUUUUGGAAAUAUGGUAGACGACGAGUCGCUCGGCAGAUGAAACAAAUGAAAGCAGAUCCUUGAACCAUUCUUGGUUAGGC